AUGAAGAUUUUGUUCACCCUAUUUCUCCUCGCUCUCACUGUAACUAGUGCCUAUGCACAGUGCAAAUUCAUUAUAUUGGUCACGACAGGAGAUAGAGAAGAUGCGGGCACCGAUGCUCGUGUAUCUCUGUCAGUGAGCACCGCAAAUGGCAAGAAGCUGGUUAUCGAGAGCCUGAAACCUUGGGGCCAGAAGGGCCACAACAACUUCGAGAAAGGCCACACCGACAAAUUUGAAGGCAGCGGUAAGUGCUUACCGUCCAAACCUUGCAGGAUGUUGCUCGAGUCUAAUGGCAAAGGUAACAAACCCGGUUGGUUUGUGGACAAAGUCGCCUUCACCCAAAUCGAGCAAAAAAAUUUGUCCCAGAAGGAGAAGACAUUCAACGUGAAUAGGUGGCUUGCACGCGAUGAGUCACCGGGUACGCUCUUUGUGGUUGUGGAUGACUGUGCCAAGUAA
Molecule: ribosomal RNA, 453 nt
Filed under: Triticum aestivum (bread wheat)
Lineage: Eukaryota; Viridiplantae; Streptophyta; Magnoliopsida; Poales; Poaceae
Description: partial small subunit ribosomal RNA
Source: RNAcentral